AGUCGAGCGAACGGACGAGAAGCUUGCUUCUCUGAUGUUAGCGGCGGACGGGUGAGUAACACGUGGAUAACCUACCUAUAAGACUGGGAUAACUUCGGGAAACCGGAGCUAAUACCGGAUAAUAUUUUGAACCGCAUGGUUCAAAAGUGAAAGACGGUCUUGCUGUCACUUAUAGAUGGAUCCGCGCUGCAUUAGCUAGUUGGUAAGGUAACGGCUUACCAAGGCAACGAUGCAUAGCCGACCUGAGAGGGUGAUCGGCCACACUGGAACUGAGACACGGUCCAGACUCCUACGGGAGGCAGCAGUAGGGAAUCUUCCGCAAUGGGCGAAAGCCUGACGGAGCAACGCCGCGUGAGUGAUGAAGGUCUUCGGAUCGUAAAACUCUGUUAUUAGGGAAGAACAUAUGUGUAAGUAACUGUGCACAUCUUGACGGUACCUAAUCAGAAAGCCACGGCUAACUACGUGCCAGCAGCCGCGGUAAUACGUAGGUGGCAAGCGUUAUCCGGAAUUAUUGGGCGUAAAGCGCGCGUAGGCGGUUUUUUAAGUCUGAUGUGAAAGCCCACGGCUCAACCGUGGAGGGUCAUUGGAAACUGGAAAACUUGAGUGCAGAAGAGGAAAGUGGAAUUCCAUGUGUGGCGGUGAAAUGCGCAGAGAUAUGGAGGAACACCAGUGGCGAAGGCGACUUUCUGGUCUGUAACUGACGCUGAUGUGCGAAAG
Molecule: ribosomal RNA, 717 nt
Filed under: uncultured Staphylococcus sp.
Lineage: Bacteria; Bacillati; Bacillota; Bacilli; Caryophanales; Staphylococcaceae
Description: bacterial SSU rRNA
Rfam family: Bacterial small subunit ribosomal RNA
Source: RNAcentral